This is a non-coding RNA of Dallia pectoralis (Alaska blackfish), 76 nucleotides long. Lineage: Eukaryota; Metazoa; Chordata; Actinopteri; Esociformes; Umbridae. The record is from the annotation of a GenBank genome assembly.
GAGACGGUUUCUCAGUGGUAGUGUGCAUGCUUUGUGUAUAUGAUGUCCUGGGUUCAAUCCCCAGUUCGCCGUUGCA